RNAcentral lists this ribosomal RNA (253 nucleotides) under uncultured bacterium. RNAcentral's name for it is "partial 16S ribosomal RNA". It matches the Rfam family "Bacterial small subunit ribosomal RNA", at positions 524 to 776 of the family's 1533-position model. The record is from RNAcentral.
UACGGGGGGGGCAAGCGUUGUUCGGAAUUACUGGGCGUAAAGGGCUUGUAGGUGGCCAACUAAGUCCGACGUGAAAUCCCUAGGCUUAACCUAGGAACUGCGUCGGAUACUGGAUGGCUUGAAUCCGGGAGAGGGAUGCGGAGUUCCAGGUGUAGCGGUGAAAUGCGUAGAUAUCUGGAGGAACACCGGUGGCGAAGGCGGCAUCCUGGACCGGUAUUGACACUGAAAAGCGAAAGCCAGGGGAGCAAACGGG